This 129-nucleotide non-coding RNA is filed under the name Lotharella globosa. Lineage: Eukaryota; Cercozoa; Chlorarachniophyceae. The record is from RNAcentral.
UGUGUUGUGCGUGUGUGUUGUGCGUGUGUGUGGUGCGAGCGUAUACGUCGUGCGCCACCACACACGGGAUGAGGUCGUUCGUUGGCUUGCCGUUCACGUCGCGGAAGUUCCUGUGCGUUCACACGUGUC